This 508-nucleotide ribosomal RNA is filed under the name uncultured Clostridium sp. Its description in RNAcentral is "bacterial SSU rRNA". It matches the Rfam family "Bacterial small subunit ribosomal RNA", at positions 9 to 526 of the family's 1533-position model. Lineage: Bacteria; Bacillati; Bacillota; Clostridia; Eubacteriales; Clostridiaceae. The record is from RNAcentral.
GAGUUUGAUCCUGGUUCAGGACGAACGCUGGCGGCGUGCCUAACACAUGCAAGUCGAGCGGAGAGAUUGUCGUAUUUAUAUGACAUGAUCUUAGCGGCGGACGGGUGAGUAACACGUGGGUAACCUGCCUCAAAGUGGGGGAUAGCCUUUCGAAAGGAAGAUUAAUACCGCAUAAGAUUGUAGCAUCACAUGAUGCAGCAAGAAAAGGAGCAAUCCGCUUUGAGAUGGACCCGCGGCGCAUUAGCUAGUUGGUGAGGUAACGGCUCACCAAGGCCACGAUGCGUAGCCGACCUGAGAGGGUGAUCGGCCACAUUGGAACUGAGAUACGGUCCAGACUCCUACGGGAGGCAGCAGUGGGGAAUAUUGCACAAUGGGCGAAAGCCUGAUGCAGCAACGCCGCGUGAGUGAUGAAGGCUUUCGAGUCGUAAAGCUCUUUGAUCAGGGAUGAUAAUGACAGUACCUGAAAAACAAGCCACGGCUAACUACGUGCCAGCAGCCGCGGUAAUAC